UCCCUUUUGUGGAACUCUCCUGCUGAUAAAGAACAGAAAGUUGCUGUUGCAGCAGAAGUCGGAGAAGAAAAACACCAUGUAAAGACGUAUAAAGCAGGUCUUGUGCGGUUACAGAGGACAUGACAGCAUCAAGAGUUUGUAGGAGAAUCAUGAUGAUAAUCAGUUGCAAUGUGAACUAACAAAUAACCAUGAAGUACAAGCAGAUCCAAUUAAUGUGGAACAAAUAAAGGAGAAUCAUGAUGAUGAUGAGUUGCUAUGUGAACUACCAAAUAACCAUGAAGUACAACCAGAUUCAAAGCAUAUGGAACAAAUAGAGGUGGAUUCAACUUCAGACGACAACUUUUCCAAACACCUUGUGAAAGUCAUCUGAAUGCCAGGAUUCUCAAGAGCAUGAAGAUAGUCCAUUACAUAGAAGGAAGACCUUGAUUAUGUAUCUUGAUGCCAUUGGUGAAAAGGCAGAGGUCUAACACUGAAGUGAAGAAAAUGACUUGACAGCUGAAGGGAAC
Molecule: long non-coding RNA, 506 nt
Organism: Saccostrea cuccullata (small rock oyster)
Lineage: Eukaryota; Metazoa; Mollusca; Bivalvia; Ostreida; Ostreidae
Exons: 4
Source: RefSeq, a predicted model, not a curated record